This is a long non-coding RNA of Acinonyx jubatus (cheetah), 3198 nucleotides long. RefSeq lists it as uncharacterized. NCBI's taxonomy places the organism in Eukaryota, Metazoa, Chordata, Mammalia, Carnivora, Felidae. The record is from RefSeq and is a predicted model, not a curated record. The transcript is spliced from 3 exons.
CGCCCUCUGCCAAGAGGACACAACCGUUCAUGCCUGGAUAUGCAGCUCCACAGAUGCGUUGACCUCUGGAGGCCGAAUUACAGUCUGCUUAUGAGAAGCAGCGGUGUUGAGCUCAGCUCGCUAAAAAUGCAACAUCCAAAAUAAUGUCGUCAGGAACUUCACUCCCACGAGAUGCUUGCUGGAAGAGGAUCUUUGGUCAUAUGAGGAAACCAAGGGUCAGCAAGGCCGCAGAGUGGCUCUCAGUUACUGAGAUUCCAAAUUCUUUGACACAACCACACUUCAGCUGCCUCCCUGCGGAUGGAAAGACCCGUAUAAGAGACUGACUCCUCUGUCUGCCAAGGGGAUGCUUCCUUUCCUCAAAGAGAGAAAGACAGAGCAUGAGCAGGGAAGGGGCAGAGAGAGAGGGAGACACAGAACGUGAAGCAGGCUCCAGGCUCCGAGCUGUCAGCACAGAGCCCGACGCGGGGCUCGAACCCACGAACUGUGAGAUCAUGACCUGAGCCGAAGUCGGACUCUCAACCGACGGAGCCACCCAGGCGCCCCGUCCUUUUGCUUCUCUUGCAUAAGUCCUUUCAGGAAAGGGUCCACUAGCUUCGUCCUACUUUUGAUCUAAAAUUUACCUGGAAUUCUCUACCUGGGGCGAAACGUGGCUCUUCUGUAGCCGCUGGAUGUGGAUAUGGACACAGCCUCCACCCGGAGCUGCCAGACCACCAGCAGACACAGCUGGCACAAGCCCGCCCUGAGCAAUGUCCCUCCUGGUGCCCGGGGCCGAGGGUGGGAGGUGGCGGUGGCUCCAGUCCGUCGCAAGGAAAAUGCCACUGGAAGAAAGCCGGGUUCGUGGGUCGGAGUACGUAGAAGGAUUUUGCCUUGAGUGAGACACUUACAAAUUACUAAAACAAGACAGAUAACUUGCCUAAUUCAUGUUAACUUUAAAAAUGUAUCCCAACCGUUUGGAUGGUUUACCACCUCUUGGAGAGAGAAACAUUUUUUAACUUCCUGUGAUCAUUUGACGCGGAAUAUAUAUUAUUUGUAUAAUAGGAGAAGUUAUUUUUACAUUAGCUCUUACCAUCUGCUAAGCAUAACCCAAUCACUCAUUAAGCUUCCGUUGGCUGUUUUCUAACUAAUGAUGACCACUGAACUGGCAGAAUUGAUAUUUGAACCACAGAAACUCACCAUAAUACAAGCUGUGUAUUUUUUCAGUUAAGUACCUUCCAAAAAGAAGAGGGGAUUGGUUAUGGUUAUCCUAACUGCUGAGUGAACAUCUCCUGCUUAAAUUCGACAUUUUCUUUUUUUUUUUUUUUUAACGUUUAUUUAUUUUUGAGAGAGAGAGAGAAAGAGUGUGAGCGGGAGGGGCAGAGAGAGAAGGAGACAUGGAAUCGGAAGCAGGUUCCAGGCUCUGAGCUGUGUCAGCACAGAGCCCGACGAGGGGCUCGAACUCACAAACCGCGAGAUCAUGACCUGAGCUGAAGUUAGACCCUUAACUGACGGAGCCAGCCAGGUGCCCCAAUUCAACAUUUUCAAACACAAACUCUGUAACUGCCCCUCUGCUUCAACUCUCACACUACCUAUCUUGUUUAAGCUGGAAGCUGGGAGUCUCUCUGACUCCUCCCCGGACCACUGACUUGGUCUGGUCACUUAUGGUCAAAAAAUGGCUCUGAACCACAGUCCACUGCUUUCCCAUUACCGUUUCUGGAUUCAGGGUUUCAACUUUUUACCUAGACAAUUCCAAUACCUCAUGACUGGUCCCCCAGCUUCUAGCCUUUCCUCACUCUGGUCCUUCUACACUCAUUCAUUCAUUCAUUCAUUCAUUCAACAAACGUGGCUCAAAUGCUGGCAACAGACAAAAUCCUCUGCCCACGUGGAGCUCACAUUCAUGCAGCGGGAGCCAGAUGGCAUAACAUACGAAGUUAGUAAUGGAAGGCCACUGUGAAAACAUUAGCCCUUGCUCCGAGAUAAAUGAGGAGCCACUGGAAGGUUGUAAGCAGCAUGACCUGACUUAGUUUUAAAAGGAUCAUUCUUCACUGGAUGGAGAAUAGGCCGGGGGUGGGGGAGCAAGGGUUGAAACAGCCCUAGGAGGCUCUAGGCAUCUAGGCCUCCAGGCAGUGACCUAGAUGGUAAUCACAGAGAUGAGGUGUCUUGGACCAGGACGGUAGCAAAGCAUCAGAUCCUGUAUAGAUGUUGAAUGUGGAGCCAGUGGAAUUUGCUAACAGACCAGAUGUGGAGCGCAAAGAGAAAUAAAGUGUCACUGAUGAUGACUCCAGCGUGUUUGGCCUGAGUGAGUUGAAGGAUGAAAUGGCACGAGCUGAGUCAGAAGGACCAUAGAGGAACGGGUUUGGUGAGAGAUAUCAGGAGCUCGGUUUUGCAUGUUAAAUCUGAGACAAUUAUGAGACAACUAAAUGAAGAUAUUGACAAAGCCGUGGGGUAAAUAAGCCUGGGGCGUCAGUGGAGAGAGAUCUGGACUAGAAAUAGAAAGUUGAUGGCUGUCAGUAUGUAGAUGGAUGAGCUCCGAGGAGUGAGUGUAGACAGAGAGGAGGAGGGGGCCAAGAUCCGAGUCCUGGGACAUAGCAGCAUGAAGAGUCUGGGGUAAGAGGGGAAUCAAUAAAGGGAGCAAAAGGAGGGGCACCUGGGUGGCUUAGUUGGUUAAGCGACCGACUUCGGCUCAGGUCAUGAUCUCGCAGUUUGUGAGAUCGAGCCCCGUGUCGGGUUCUGUGCUGACAGCUCAGCCUGCUUUCGAUUCUGUGUCGCCCCCUCCCCUGUUCACACUCUGUGUCUCUCUGUCUCUCAAUAAUAAAUAAACGUUAAAAAAUUUUUUUAAAUAAAUAAAGGGCGCAAAAGGAGCAAGCAGUGAGAUAGGAAGAAAUCUAGGGGUGUGUGAGUUCCUGGGAGCCAAGUGAAGAAAGUAUUUCUAGGAGCCGGGAGAGGUCAGGUUACACAGCAAUUAUUAGUAACACAGAGGCUUUCAAGAUCUUGAUCAGAGCCGUUUCGGUGGAGCCCAGGGAGAAAAAACCUGGUUGGAGUGGAUUUACGGCAGAGGACAAGAGGAGGAAUUGUUGACAUUAACUAUGACACCUCUUUCAAGGAGUUUUGCAGAGAGGAGAGAAAUAGGACAGUGGCUGGAAGGAGAGAUGGGGUCAAGAGAGGGUUUCUCAAGAUAGAAAGAAUAACAGCAUAUCUAUAGGUUAAUGGCAAUGAUGCCGU